UGGGGAAUUUUGCACAAUGGGGGAAACCUGAUGCAGCGAUGCCGCGUGAGUGAAGAAGGCCCUUGGGUUGUAAAACUCUUUCGUCGGGGAUGAAAAUGACUGUACCCGAAUAAGAAGGUCCGGCUAACUACGUG
This 134-nucleotide ribosomal RNA is filed under the name uncultured bacterium. Its description in RNAcentral is "partial 16S ribosomal RNA". It matches the Rfam family "Bacterial small subunit ribosomal RNA", at positions 355 to 507 of the family's 1533-position model. The record is from RNAcentral.